RNAcentral lists this long non-coding RNA (973 nucleotides) under Homo sapiens (human). RNAcentral describes it as "non-protein coding lnc-SMOC2-8:7". Lineage: Eukaryota; Metazoa; Chordata; Mammalia; Primates; Hominidae. The record is from RNAcentral.
ACAGAGGACAGCCCCUGAAGGCAUAAGCAGGAAGGGCAUAAUGCUUUCCAAAAGAGAAAACUACAUGGACUUUACUGACUCAUCACUGAGUUCUGAGAUCACUGACACUUACACAUGUGUCCACGCUGUUGUGAGUCAUGGGGAAAAAUGGAGGAGCAAAAUGACCAAGUGGCAGGGUCUGUAAGAGUCUCUCACUGUAGGGAUGGGCUGCCCUGAGGAGACACUGCCCAGGCCUGGGUGCCCCGGGCCAAAGUCCUGACCCUUGCAGGGCUGUGUCCUGUGGAUGACAUGUGGCACUGGACUGCUCACUGACAGGUAGGAACUAUGCACUGAGAGGUGGGAACUGCUGGCCGGGGGGUGGGAACUGCUGGCCGAGGGGUGGGAACCGCCUGCUGAGGGGUGGGAACUACUGGCUGGGGAGUGGGAACUGGGCACUGAGAGGUGGGAACUGCUGACCAGGAGGUGGGAACUGCUGGCCCGGGGGUGGGAACUAUGCACUGAGAGGUGGGAACUGCUGACCAGGGGAUGGGAACUGCCUGCUGAGGGGUGGGAACUGUGCACUGAGAGGUGGGAACUGUGCACUGAGAGGUAGGAAUUGCUGGCCAGGGGGUUGGAACUGCCUGCUGAGGGGUGGGAACUGCCCACUGAGAGGCAGGAACUGGGCUGAGUGCUCAGUUUUCCUGUUCUGCUGAUAUCUUCAGAGGCAUCAGGAUGUGGCUGCCUUUGGGGAAGCUGCAUUUACCCAGCCAAGGAUGCUGCCUCCAGAAACAGAAGUGGCCUCAGGCCAGAAAUAGGGGUCUGCCUUUUUAAUAUAUUGUGUUGGUUAAAUCAGCAGUCCCCAAACUUUAUGGUACCAGGGACCAGUUUCAUGGAAGACAAUUUUUCCAUCAACUGGCAGUGGGGGCAGUGGGGGCAGUGGGGGUGGUUUCUUGAUGAUUCAAGUGCAUUACAUUAAUUAAUUAAUUAGUUUGUU